Non-coding RNA from Tinamus guttatus (white-throated tinamou), 114 nucleotides. Lineage: Eukaryota; Metazoa; Chordata; Aves; Tinamiformes; Tinamidae. The record is from RefSeq and is a predicted model, not a curated record.
ACAGGGUUCAUCUUAUUCUGGAAGCAGGCAGUAUGGUGGACAGGGCUCAUCUUAUGGAGGCCAAUCACAUGGUAAACCAGGUUCAUCUUCCUCAGGAGGCAGAAAUCAAGGAAA